GAGUUUGAUCUUGGCUCAGAGCGAACGUUAGCGGCGGGCCUAACACAUGCAAGUCGAGCGAGAAAGGGGCUUCGGCCCUGAGUAAAGCGGCGGACGGGUGAGUAACACGUAGGUAAUCUUCCCUUGAGCGGGGGACAACGGUCCGAAAGGACCGCUAAUACCGCAUACGUUUCCGAGGACUCCGGUCCUUGGAAGGAAAGCUAGGCCGCAAGGUCCGGCACUCGAGGAGGAGCCUGCGUCGCAUCAGCUAGUUGGUGGGGUAAUGGCCUACCAAGGCGAAGACGCGUAGCUGGUCUGAGAGGAUGAUCAGCCACACUGGGACUGAGACACGGCCCAGACUCCUACGGGAGGCAGCAGUGGGGAAUAUUGGACAAUGGGCGCAAGCCUGAUCCAGCCACGCCGCGUGAGUGAUGAAGGCCUUCGGUCGUAAGCUCUGUGGGGAGGGACGAACCGCUGCACGUUCAUAGCGUGCAGCAUGACGGUACC
This 486-nucleotide ribosomal RNA is filed under the name uncultured delta proteobacterium. RNAcentral describes it as "bacterial SSU rRNA". It matches the Rfam family "Bacterial small subunit ribosomal RNA", at positions 9 to 479 of the family's 1533-position model. Lineage: Bacteria; Deltaproteobacteria. The record is from RNAcentral.